AGGGAUAUAGUUUAAUGGUAAAACAAUGGUCUCCAAAACCAUUGAUGUGGGUUCGAUUCCUACUAUCCCUG
Molecule: transfer RNA, 71 nt
Filed under: Ignavigranum ruoffiae
Lineage: Bacteria; Bacillati; Bacillota; Bacilli; Lactobacillales; Aerococcaceae
Rfam family: tRNA
About the family: Transfer RNA (tRNA) molecules are approximately 80 nucleotides in length.
Source: Rfam by way of RNAcentral